This is an RNA transcript of Hevea brasiliensis (rubber tree), 1574 nucleotides long. RefSeq lists it as uncharacterized. The record is from RefSeq and is a predicted model, not a curated record. NCBI's taxonomy places the organism in Eukaryota, Viridiplantae, Streptophyta, Magnoliopsida, Malpighiales, Euphorbiaceae. The transcript has 5 exons.
UUCCCAAUAAUGUCUAAAGACUCUAAAGUCCCAAGGGGAAUAAGUAGCCACAAAUUUAAAGGCCCAUCAAAACCUAAAAUACCCACAUCGUCCCGCAUUCCUGUUUGUGUCCAGUGUCCACCACGCGUCUUUUUGCACUUGUCCGCUCUUCACGAGGAAGCAAUGGAUUUUUUGUUCAAGGGAGUAAAUGAAGACACAUCUGAUUUUCUAUUUGAUGAGAAGAACGUUCAGAGAUGCCCAUUUCUUCGGAACAUCAACAAGCCAACUAGCUUUUCACUAUUUUCAGUGAAUUUUCCCAGUCCUGUGAGGGGAGCCAAAGGUCCAAUAUUUGAAGAUGGUCCUAAUUUUGAUAUGGCAUUUAAGCUGUUUCAUGGGAAAGAUGGGGUUGUUCCGCUCUCAAACAGGUCUAAUUUCCGUAAUGACAUUUUGGAACAUGACUCUACACCCCACUUCAACCCCUUAGCAGCAAAAGCUGCCACUAUUAGUUUAUCUGCAUUUGGUCAAGGUGGACCAUUUGGCUUUGGUUCCUUCAAUGAUAAGCGGAAGAAUCAGAAGAAGAAAUCUGACUCCACCAACAAAAAUGAUCCAUCUUCUCAGAAAGGAAAUACCUCAAAACAUGAGGCACUGGGAAAUGAGUGGUUAGAAACAGGAAACUGUCCAAUUGCUAAAUCUUAUAGAGCUGUUAGUCGCGUACUACCACUUGUGGCAUCAACUUUUCAAUUGCCACCUGGUGUGAAGCUUAGAUGUCCACCUGCUGUAGUUGCUGCAAGGGCUGCCCUUGCACAGACUGCCCUCGUUAAAACCUUGCGACCGCAGCCACUACCUGCGAAGAUGUUUGUCAUUGCUCUCUUGGGCAUGGCAGCAAAUGUUCCCUUGGGCGUGUGGAAGGAACAUACUAAGAAGUUUUCACUAUCAUGGUUUGCUGCAGUGCAUGCAGCCGUGCCCUUCAUAGCUAUGCUUAGGAAGUCUGUUGUGAUGCCCAAAACUGCUAUGGCACUGACUAUUGGAGCUUCUAUCCUGGGGCAGGUUAUUGGUUCUAGAGCUGAGAGGCACCGUCUCAAAGCAGCAGCUGAAAGGAAUAGCAUAGCAGCACAGACAGCAAUUGCUGCUGCAUUGGCAGGGUAUAGUUCGACCCAGGUUGGUAGCAUUACAGGUGGUCACUGUGGUACAGAAGGGAUGACAUGGGAUCCACUCUAUAUCAAGGCUGCUGGACCCACAUCUUCAUCAAAUGAUGUGUGUUGCUAGCAUCACAAGCUGCAACUAGAGAUUGAAAUAAAACUUACAUACGGUAUCAAUAGCUGGUGAUGGUUAAAUCUGCAGUUCGGUAGAAGAUAGAGCAAUGGCCAUCUCUAGCCGACUUAUGGAAGUCCCAGGAAGAAAAAGAAGAGAAGAAAUGAUAGACAAAGGAGGGAAUAAACAUUAGGACCAAGAGAUUUGGCGAAUGUCGUCGUGUGAAUGUGUGAUCCCAAUAUACAUUUGUGUAUGUGUGAACCCAAUUUACAUUUUGAAAGCCUUUAAUAAUUGCAAAUAAAUUGGUUGAAUGAUAAAUGAAAGAACCGUAUGUAUCACCAUGA